RNAcentral lists this small nuclear RNA (150 nucleotides) under Suricata suricatta (meerkat). RNAcentral describes it as "U4 spliceosomal RNA (ENSSSUG00005022204.1)". The stretch from base 1 to 82 matches the Rfam family "U4 spliceosomal RNA". From Rfam's summary of the family: U4 small nuclear RNA (U4 snRNA) is a component of the major U2-dependent spliceosome. The structure of U4 snRNA from yeast and human has been reported. Lineage: Eukaryota; Metazoa; Chordata; Mammalia; Carnivora; Herpestidae. The record is from RNAcentral.
AGCUUUGCACAGGGGCAGUAUUGUAACCAACGAGGUCUAGCCGAGGCACAAUUAUUGCUAAUUGAAAACUUUUCCCAGAAUGUACAACCCCAAGAAUGAAUGUUAAGGUAAACUAUGGGUUUGGGGUGAUUAUGAUGUGUCAAUGUAGGU